This 253-nucleotide ribosomal RNA is filed under the name uncultured bacterium. RNAcentral describes it as "partial 16S ribosomal RNA". It matches the Rfam family "Bacterial small subunit ribosomal RNA", at positions 524 to 776 of the family's 1533-position model. The record is from RNAcentral.
UACGUAGGGGGCAAGCGUUGUCCGGAUUUAUUGGGCGUAAAGAGCGUGUAGGCGGCCAAGUAAGUCUGCUGUGAAAACUCGAGGCUUAACCUCGAGCUGCCGGCGGAAACUAUUUGGCUAGAGUCCGGAAGAGGAGAAUGGAAUUCCCGGUGUAGCGGUGAAAUGCGCAGAUAUCGGGAAGAACACCCGUGGCGAAGGCGGUUCUCUGGGACGGUACUGACGCUGAGACGCGAAAGCGUGGGGAGCGAACAGG